This 722-nucleotide ribosomal RNA is filed under the name uncultured Fusobacterium sp. RNAcentral's name for it is "bacterial SSU rRNA". It matches the Rfam family "Bacterial small subunit ribosomal RNA", at positions 28 to 776 of the family's 1533-position model. Lineage: Bacteria; Fusobacteriati; Fusobacteriota; Fusobacteriia; Fusobacteriales; Fusobacteriaceae. The record is from RNAcentral.
GAUGAACGCUGACAGAAUGCUUAACACAUGCAAGUCAACUUGAACUUCGGUUUGGGUGGCGGACGGGUGAGUAACGCGUAAAGAACUUGCCUCACAGAUAGGGACAACGUUUGGAAACGAAUGCUAAUACCUGAUAUUAUGAUUUUAGGGCAUCCUAGAAUUAUGAAAGCUAUACGCGCUGUGAGAGAGCUUUGCGUCCCAUUAGCUAGUUGGAGAGGUAACGGCUCACCAAGGCGAUGAUGGGUAGCCGGCCUGAGAGGGUGAUCGGCCACAAGGGGACUGAGACACGGCCCUUACUCCUACGGGAGGCAGCAGUGGGGAAUAUUGGACAAUGGACCAAGAGUCUGAUCCAGCAAUUCUGUGUGCACGAUGAAGUUUUUCGGAAUGUAAAGUGCUUUCAGUUGGGAAGAAAAAAAUGACGGUACCAACAGAAGAAGUGACGGCUAAAUACGUGCCAGCAGCCGCGGUAAUACGUAUGUCACAAGCGUUAUCCGGAUUUAUUGGGCGUAAAGCGCGUCUAGGUGGUUAUGUAAGUCUGAUGUGAAAAUGCAGGGCUCAACUCUGUAUUGCGUUGGAAACUGUGUAACUAGAGUACUGAAGAGGUAAGCGGAACUACAAGUGUAGAGGUGAAAUUCGUAGAUAUUUGUAGGAAUGCCGAUGGGGAAGCCAGCUUACUGGACAGAUACUGACGCUGAAGCGCGAAAGCGUGGGUAGCAAACAGG